GAGACUACACGUCAUAAGAAAUAUUGAAACAAUUAUUUUUCAUAAAUAAACUUAAAACUUGAUUUUGUCAAAACGUAAUAAUUCUAUACAUAUGUAUAUAUAUUUUCUACGUUGAAUGUUGGUUAGCGAAAUCAAUCAAUCAAAGAAGAAAAUGCUGUAGCCGUUGGCACCGUCAUGCAAACAGGGAAAAUAUGCCUAAAUUUUAUGGCAACAGAUUGGAAAGAGGUGAAACGAAGUUCAAGUGCGCAUCAUCUGGAGCUACCCAUCGUAGUGCUCAAAAAUUACAGACACACACUAAAACCAUUUGUUGAGAGUGCCAAAUGCAGCUUUGUAAAAUGUACUUUGCACCAUAUCAUUCAUAAAUUUUAUGUAAGAUAGAUCUUCUACUUCUUCAACAAUAUUAAAAAAUAAUAAUAUAUGAUUUAUGAAAUGUGUAACGA
RNAcentral lists this long non-coding RNA (440 nucleotides) under Ceratitis capitata (Mediterranean fruit fly). Its description in RNAcentral is "uncharacterized LOC105664759, transcript variant X2". The record is from RNAcentral. Lineage: Eukaryota; Metazoa; Arthropoda; Insecta; Diptera; Tephritidae.